Molecule: ribosomal RNA, 265 nt
Filed under: uncultured archaeon
Lineage: Archaea
Description: partial 16S ribosomal RNA
Rfam family: Archaeal small subunit ribosomal RNA
Source: RNAcentral
AGUCACUGACAUUAGAUACCCGCGUAGUCCCAGCCGUAAGCAAUGUGCGUUAGGUGUGUCGGUAACCACGUGUUACUGAUGCGCCGAAGAGAAAUCGUGAAACGCACCACCUGGGAAGUACGGUCGCAAGGCUGAAACUUAAAGGAAUUGGCGGGGGAGCACCACAACAGGUGGAGCCUGCGGUUUAAUUGGAUUCAACGCCGGACAUCUCACCGGAUAAGACAGCUGAAUGAUUGUCAAUCUGAAGGUUUUACAUGACUAGCUG